GGUUAAGCGACUAAGCGUACACGGUGGAUGCCCUGGCAGUCAGAGGCGAUGAAGGACGUGCUAAUCUGCGAUAAGCGUCGGUGAGGUGAUAUGAACCGUUAUAACCGGCGAUUUCCGAAUGGGGAAACCCAGUGUGUUUCGACACACUAUCAUUAACUGAAUCCAUAGGUUAAUGAGGCGAACCGGGGGAACUGAAACAUCUAAGUACCCCGAGGAAAAGAAAUCAACCGAGAUUCCCCCAGUAGCGGCGAGCGAACGGGGAGGAGCCCAGAGCCUGAAUCAGUGUGUGUGUUAGUGGAAGCGUCUGGAAAGGCGCGCGAUACAGGGUGACAGCCCCGUACACAAAAAUGCACAUAUUGUGAGCUCGAUGAGUAGGGCGGGACACGUGGUAUCCUGUCUGAAUAUGGGGGGACCAUCCUCCAAGGCUAAAUACUCCUGACUGACCGAUAGUGAACCAGUACCGUGAGGGAAAGGCGAAAAGAACCCCGGCGAGGGGAGUGAAAAAGAACCUGAAACCGUGUACGUACAAGCAGUGGGAGCCUCUUUAUGGGGUGACUGCGUACCUUUUGUAUAAUGGGUCAGCGACUUAUAUUCUGUAGCAAGGUUAACCGAAUAGGGGAGCCGAAGGGAAACCGAGUCUUAACUGGGCGUUAAGUUGCAGGGUAUAGACCCGAAACCCGGUGAUCUAGCCAUGGGCAGGUUGAAGGUUGGGUAACACUAACUGGAGGACCGAACCGACUAAUGUUGAAAAAUUAGCGGAUGACUUGUGGCUGGGGGUGAAAGGCCAAUCAAACCGGGAGAUAGCUGGUUCUCCCCGAAAGCUAUUUAGGUAGCGCCUCGUGAAUUCAUCUCCGGGGGUAGAGCACUGUUUCGGCAAGGGGGUCAUCCCGACUUACCAACCCGAUGCAAACUGCGAAUACCGGAGAAUGUUAUCACGGGAGACACACGGCGGGUGCUAACGUCCGUCGUGAAGAGGGAAACAACCCAGACCGCCAGCUAAGGUCCCAAAGUCAUGGUUAAGUGGGAAACGAUGUGGGAAGGCCCAGACAGCCAGGAUGUUGGCUUAGAAGCAGCCAUCAUUUAAAGAAAGCGUAAUAGCUCACUGGUCGAGUCGGCCUGCGCGGAAGAUGUAACGGGGCUAAACCAUGCACCGAAGCUGCGGCAGCGACACUAUGUGUUGUUGGGUAGGGGAGCGUUCUGUAAGCCUGUGAAGGUGGCCUGUGAGGGUUGCUGGAGGUAUCAGAAGUGCGAAUGCUGACAUAAGUAACGAUAAAGCGGGUGAAAAGCCCGCUCGCCGGAAGACCAAGGGUUCCUGUCCAACGUUAAUCGGGGCAGGGUGAGUCGACCCCUAAGGCGAGGCCGAAAGGCGUAGUCGAUGGGAAACAGGUUAAUAUUCCUGUACUUGGUGUUACUGCGAAGGGGGGACGGAGAAGGCUAUGUUGGCCGGGCGACGGUUGUCCCGGUUUAAGCGUGUAGGCUGGUUUUCCAGGCAAAUCCGGAAAACCAAGGCUGAGGCGUGAUGACGAGGCACUACGGUGCUGAAGCGACAAAUGCCCUGCUUCCAGGAAAAGCCUCUAAGCAUCAGGUAACAUCAAAUCGUACCCCAAACCGACACAGGUGGUCAGGUAGAGAAUACCAAGGCGCUUGAGAGAACUCGGGUGAAGGAACUAGGCAAAAUGGUGCCGUAACUUCGGGAGAAGGCACGCUGAUAUGUAGGUGAAGCGACUUGCUCGUGGAGCUGAAAUCAGUCGAAGAUACCAGCUGGCUGCAACUGUUUAUUAAAAACACAGCACUGUGCAAACACGAAAGUGGACGUAUACGGUGUGACGCCUGCCCGGUGCCGGAAGGUUAAUUGAUGGGGUUAGCGGUAACGCGAAGCUCUUGAUCGAAGCCCCGGUAAACGGCGGCCGUAACUAUAACGGUCCUAAGGUAGCGAAAUUCCUUGUCGGGUAAGUUCCGACCUGCACGAAUGGCGUAAUGAUGGCCAGGCUGUCUCCACCCGAGACUCAGUGAAAUUGAACUCGCUGUGAAGAUGCAGUGUACCCGCGGCAAGACGGAAAGACCCCGUGAACCUUUACUAUAGCUUGACACUGAACAUUGAGCCUUGAUGUGUAGGAUAGGUGGGAGGCUUUGAAGUGUGGACGCCAGUCUGCAUGGAGCCGACCUUGAAAUACCACCCUUUAAUGUUUGAUGUUCUAACGUUGGCCCGUAAUCCGGGUUGCGGACAGUGUCUGGUGGGUAGUUUGACUGGGGCGGUCUCCUCCUAAAGAGUAACGGAGGAGCACGAAGGUUGGCUAAUCCUGGUCGGACAUCAGGAGGUUAGUGCAAUGGCAUAAGCCAGCUUGACUGCGAGCGUGACGGCGCGAGCAGGUGCGAAAGCAGGUCAUAGUGAUCCGGUGGUUCUGAAUGGAAGGGCCAUCGCUCAACGGAUAAAAGGUACUCCGGGGAUAACAGGCUGAUACCGCCCAAGAGUUCAUAUCGACGGCGGUGUUUGGCACCUCGAUGUCGGCUCAUCACAUCCUGGGGCUGAAGUAGGUCCCAAGGGUAUGGCUGUUCGCCAUUUAAAGUGGUACGCGAGCUGGGUUUAGAACGUCGUGAGACAGUUCGGUCCCUAUCUGCCGUGGGCGCUGGAGAACUGAGGGGGCUGCUCCUAGUACGAGAGGACCGGAGUGGACGCAUCACUGGUGUUCGGGUUGUCAUGCCAAUGGCACUGCCCGGUAGCUAAAUGCGGAAGAGAUAAGUGCUGAAAGCAUCUAAGCACGAAACUUGCCCCGAGAUGAGUUCUCCCUGAGACUUAGAGUCUCCUGAAGGAACGUUGAAGACGACGACGUUGAUAGGCCGGGUGUGUAAGCGCAGCGAUGCGUUGAGCUAACCGGUACUAAUGAACCGUGAGGCUUAACCUU
RNAcentral lists this ribosomal RNA (2903 nucleotides) under Escherichia coli. Its description in RNAcentral is "23S ribosomal RNA". It matches the Rfam family "Bacterial large subunit ribosomal RNA". The record is from RNAcentral. Lineage: Bacteria; Pseudomonadati; Pseudomonadota; Gammaproteobacteria; Enterobacterales; Enterobacteriaceae.